This 2048-nucleotide long non-coding RNA is filed under the name Olea europaea (common olive). Its description in RNAcentral is "long non-coding RNA (OEUR_LNC010987)". Lineage: Eukaryota; Viridiplantae; Streptophyta; Magnoliopsida; Lamiales; Oleaceae. The record is from RNAcentral.
GUGUUUCCUUUCCGGAAGAGACGGUCUUCCAAGCUACCAUUAGCCAUGUAUUCAUAUACUAGACAACCAUAUUCUGGGCAAGCUCCAAGCAGUAAAACCAUGUUGGGGUGUCUCAUGCAACUCAGAACUUCAACCUGCAUAAGGUAUGUGCAUAAUUGUUGAUUAAGUAAAAUUUUAUUCUUCAAGAUACACUUUCUUGGAUAUGACGCAGUAAGUGUGAUGCAAAAUAUGAAAUCAGAAGCGCCUUAUUUUAUUACGAAAGAAAUGCUAUUUAGCAGUUAGUACUUUCUUUCACUCUCACCUCUAGGUGAAACUGUGACCUUCCUUGAGCAGCAUCUGGGCGCAAUACCUUAACUGCAACUAGUGUAUGAUCAAGACGACACUUAAAAACAGGACCAUACCCUCCUUCUCCAAUCUUUCGAGAUUCAUUAAAAUAUUCUGUUGCCUCUUCAAUUUCAUCAAUAGUAUAUCUUCUGUAUCUUAAUGAAAUUAAUGGACUUGACGUGUCUUGAUCCUCGCCUGAUUCUUCAAUGGCUUUCAUUUCAGACUUCAUUCUUUUUUGUGAUUCUAUUUCUUCAAUUCUCUGAGCUGCUUCAUUAUUCUCUAUGGUUGCCUUGGAGUUACCUUGCUCUUGUUGAGAAGUCUUUUUCUUUGCUUCCUCUGAAAAUCGAGCCUCUUCUAAUCUUUGUUCUUCUUCCAUCCUCCAUCGUUGGAGCUCCACUGCCUGUACCACAUAUAAGUUAGCAAUCAUACAGGAUGGUGAAAAUUUAUAAGGAAUAUCUAUUCUAACCUACCUUUUCUUUUGCUGUUAGAGCUUCUUUACAGGCAGUGCUAUACAUUUCCAUUGUUCUCUGCAACUCUAGCUUUAGCCUUCUCAUUUCAGCUUCAACAUCAUCCUGUAGAAGCAAUCAUCAGAAUCUAAUCAACAUGUUCAUCCAGUGAUUUUAUCAUGAGGAUGAUAUUACAAAUGAUUACAAACAAGUAAUUUCAUAUUUUUAAGAUGUAUAAAUAUUUAAGAUCCUGUCGUCAAGAUGUUGUCCUUACAUUUUCAAGUGAAGAUGAUGAGAAGUCAGUAAAAGAACUGAAUGCGCUCCAUUUGGCCACUGAGGGCAUUGAGCCAUUACUACUUUCUGAGCUGGUUGACAAUCGUGAGGUUCUACCCGAAUCCAUGCCAUCGAGGAUCAUACGAUCCGUGCUUGGCCUAUCAGAACUUAUGAAUGAUAUAUCUGAUUCAGAUUCUGAGAGAUCGCCGAACAACUUUCCAUUGAAACCUUUUGGUGGCCUUGAAAAUGGAGACCUGUAUCUUAAAACAUUACGGACAAAUCUUGGCUUCUAUAUUUAUUUUCUGAAAAAGGAUGUUUUUCAUAUAGAUUGGCAAAUUUGACCCAAGGAGUUGGGGAACAGAGAGGGAAACAAUAAUACUUUUACUGGAGAGACUUACUUGAGUAAAUCGUGUUCAUCAAGAAGCAUCAACUUUCGAGGUGUCCUUCCUGUAACUGCUCAACAUUUUUGUUUGUAUUACAUAAACAAGAUAAAUUGGAACAGAUGGAAAAAAAUAAUACAAAUGGAAAGAAGGACAAACCUUUGAGACUGGGAGUAUGCCUGGGAGUGGGACCUGCAUCAGUGGAAAAAUUAUUACCACCAUUAGGAUGGUCCUGCAUUUGGUGUAUUUGGAUAUGAAGAGGGGAAGUGAAUGGUGCUGGACGAGAAGCAUUCCGCACAGCGGAGAUCUUUGAUUUCGAGAUAACAUAAACAGUGCAGAAGUCCGGCGCUACUUUGCAUACACAGGUCGGUAUGUCUACCGUCUUCAAUCUCCUGUCGCAAACAGUAUGUGGGAAAUUUCUUGAGAUUAAAUUGGAAAAAAAUUAAAGAGGAUUUGGGUGAUACAAUUAUGUUUUCAAAGCUCUAAUUAAAUCUAGUUUCUCUGUUAAACUGUUCAAUGUAUGUUCAAUUCAUUGUCUGCUUCAUCUUGGUAAUGGAAUAAAUUUAUCUAUAUCAUCACAGGCAGCACGAAUAAUUGAAGCUGAAAUUGUUGAAGACAAUAAAAU